GAAGUGAAAAUGUGCUGCCAUAAUCUCUAAUGUUGGGGACGCCACCUUGCCUCUCUGGAAUGGCCGCAAGGAAGGAUCGCUCGUGCCGGGACAUCUAACGAGGAGCUCAGUAUUAUAAUGAAAAUGCAGUUGUGCACAACACUGCUUCACUUCAUUUUCAAGUUUCGAACUCCCGCAAGACACCUCAAGUCCAAUCAUUUCCUCCCCGCCCGCUGCUGCCUGCCCCAUGCCUCGCCGCGCUCCCUCCUCCUCUCCGUCAUUCUUCUCUUCUUCCAUCCGGCGCCAACACAAGUCACUGAAAAUCAAGGCGAGUGCAAACCAGAUAAGAUAACGAACAGUGAUUGAAAACGCUGAUGAAAAGAGAAAAACUGUGAGGUGUGGCGGCUGUCUCGUUGUGUGUUUGUGUUGUUGAGCGGUGGGGUGAGGAGUGUGGGACAAUGGUUGCUUCCAGGAGCCAUCACUGAACCAUGGGAGCUGCAAGCACCACCACAGCACAGUAGGAGGAUGGUGCAGCCCAGUACAGCUGAGGCAUCCAGAACCGACCCACUGAGGACUGAUGGCGGGAGGUGAGGUGCAGCGGCAGGAAUUUCUCUGGACAUACAGUUUGUGUUUCGGCGCAGCAUCCUACCUCCUCGUGCUCCUCCGCCUGACUCACGCGAACCUCAUCUGCCGGUGCCGUUUCAUCCCAGCAGUCUAUCAGGCCACUCUGUAUUCUUUUCCUGGGCCUCCUUGGCGAUGUGAGUAGUGAGCACCUCCUCAAAGGGCGCACCUGCGUGGACUUCAAACAUCUCAUGUCGACCGGAAUCCAGGUACGACCAACAACUGAACACUUCAUAACCGAAUGGAUUCUACAAGACUGAACAAAGCAAGUAAAUACGAAGCAGCACACACAGGAGAGAAUGAACCAGCAACCAACACCUCGACCUUCAACUUGCGGCUGUCAUCCACACCCACACAUGACUUGGUUCUGCAUCAUGGGUCAGGUGGAGGGAAGAGGGAGAGGAGAAGAAAGAAGAGAAAGGAACGGGAGAAAGAAGUAGGAUUAAGGAAGGACGGAAAGAAAAUGUGUUGGGGAGACAAUAAAGGAAGGAAAGGAGAGAAUAUAAAUGAAAGAGGAGACGGGAAGUAGAGAAGAUAGGAAGAGGAGAGAGGAUGGAGUUGGUGAAAUCUGUGAGGGCUAAAGAAGUGAAAAUUAUGAAGAAUAAGGAUAAAAGGAAGGGAUAGAAAGAAAAAAAGAACGAGAGGAAAAGUAGAAUGAGGAAAGACGGAAAGAAAGCAGAGAUGGAUAAGAGCAAAGGACAUAGCGAGUGACCAAAAAGAAGAGAAGAGGUAGAGUUCGUUCAGAUGAGUUUGAUUGACGCACUCAUUCCAGGCGCGCCCUCUCUGCCUCUGAGGUCUGCCAUUGAGUAACUGGUGGAUCAAACGCACUCAUCCCCUCCAUGUGAUUGAUUGCCUCGGGUAGAAAACAUUUAACUGGAGGCCGUUUGGUAUGGCGAGGGGGAGAGGGGAGCUAACCCAUCCAAUCAAAAUACAAGGAUUUGUAUGGGACGUACGGGAUCUAAAACGGCAAGUUAUUGAGUUGCUUUGUGGCUGAUUGGGCUGAGCUACUGACUAAAUACUAUUAAAGCCACCAAUAAUUUAAAUACAGUGUAUCAGGAAUAUGGAAUCACAAGUACUGAAUGUUAGUUGUUUUGUGGCUCAUUGGGUUACAACUAGACUAAUUUUAUAUCGUCAGCUCUUAAAUAACAUUAGAUUACCAGAAUAUUGUAACUGUGGGAAGUGUAUGGGAUGUGCAGAAUUGAAUACCUGUUUCUAGUUAUUUUGUAGUCGAUUCGAUGACGUAAGUGAUCACAGGACGCAGUAACAUUCGGCAGUUUUACUUCCAGCUGAUCAAAGAUAAUUAUUCAGCAGUUUUUCUUUUGAGCUACUUAACCCCUUC
RNAcentral lists this long non-coding RNA (1939 nucleotides) under Portunus trituberculatus (swimming crab). RNAcentral's name for it is "uncharacterized LOC123520233, transcript variant X2". The record is from RNAcentral. Lineage: Eukaryota; Metazoa; Arthropoda; Malacostraca; Decapoda; Portunidae.